GAGUUUGAUCCUGGCUCAGAUUGAACGCUGGCGGCAUGCCUUACACAUACAAGUCGAACGGCAGCAUGAUCUAGCUUGCUAGAUUGAUGGCGAGUGGCGAACGGGUGAGUAAUACAUCGGGAACGUGCCCUGUAGUGGGGGGAUAACUAGUCGAAAGAUUAGCUAAUACCGCAUACGACCUGAGGGUGAAAGUGGGGGACCGCAAGGCCUCAUGCUAUAGGAGCGGCCGAUGUCUGAUUAGCUAGUUGGUGGGGUAAAGGGUCCCGACCAAGGCGACGAUCAGUAGCUGGUCUGAGAGGACGAUCAGCCACACUGGGACUGAGACACGGCCCAGACUCCUACGGGAGGCAGCAGUGGGGAAUUUUGGACAAUGGGCGAAAGCCUGAUCCAGCAAUGCCGCGUGUGUGAGAAGGCCU
RNAcentral lists this ribosomal RNA (416 nucleotides) under uncultured microorganism. RNAcentral's name for it is "bacterial SSU rRNA". It matches the Rfam family "Bacterial small subunit ribosomal RNA", at positions 9 to 417 of the family's 1533-position model. The record is from RNAcentral.